This 74-nucleotide transfer RNA is filed under the name Methylovirgula sp. 4M-Z18. RNAcentral describes it as "tRNA-Cys". It matches the Rfam family "tRNA". Rfam says of the family: Transfer RNA (tRNA) molecules are approximately 80 nucleotides in length. Their secondary structure includes four short double-helical elements and three loops (D, anti-codon, and T loops). Lineage: Bacteria; Pseudomonadati; Pseudomonadota; Alphaproteobacteria; Hyphomicrobiales; Beijerinckiaceae. The record is from RNAcentral.
GGCCUCGUGGCGGAGUGGUCACGCAGAGGACUGCAAAUCCUUGUACGGGGGUUCGAUUCCCUCCGAGGCCUCCA